RNAcentral lists this long non-coding RNA (1197 nucleotides) under Brassica napus (rape). RNAcentral describes it as "long non-coding RNA (BNAP_LNC018098)". Lineage: Eukaryota; Viridiplantae; Streptophyta; Magnoliopsida; Brassicales; Brassicaceae. The record is from RNAcentral.
UCGGGUUUUAGGGUUUGUUAUGUGUGGGUCGGAUCUUUCCGGUUGGAUCUUGUAAAUAUCUAAUUUAUGGUAGGGACAAUCCGUCUUUAGCCACUUUUUCUAUUUAAAAAAAAAUGAAAAAUAAAUUAUAUUAUAAUAAAGGGAUAAACGGGGAUUUUUUAGGGGGUAGAUGGUAUAUGGAGUUAUUCUCCCACUUAGCUAGAUGAACUCAGCCUUUUCUAAACGACUUAGCCACUUCCUUUGUUAUCAAACGUACGAGCCUUACAUCCUCUGCUUCUCUUCUUCUUCUUCUGCAUAUAAGCUAAAGGGACCCGAAGGCUAUCAGGUUUCACCGCCGACAUCGAUUGCUCUCCAGUGCUGUUUGAUAGAUCUUCAUGAGUGAGAAACUGAAAACACAUUAUUGAUCUCCGUCUCCGCUUUAAGAGGAAAAUUAUUCUACCAGUGAUGCUUCUCCAAAAUUCGUUUGCUUCCUUAUUUGAGAUACUACUAUUCACAACAAUUGAUGAAUCAGAUACGCAAAACAAAUAGAUUGGGCUAAGGCAAGAGCCAAUAGGGAAGGGUUGGUAUUCCACCAUGGUGCUCGUUUCCGAUCUGAAAGUCUACGCUGAUUUGGAUCAAAAAAAAGUUUGUAGAUCUGUAAUUCCAGCAACAAACUCUUGUAGAUCUGCGCGAUUCCAGCGACAAACUAUGGAAGGAGUUUUGUUUCACUCCAUCAGAAGAAGGUGAAGUUGUUAGAAGAGAUGAGUGGGUUAUCUUCUUAGCCGGUGAUUUCAGAAGAGAUGAGUGGAUUUUGUCUUUAUGGGAAAUUGUUGUUGUUGUCUCUAAAAUAGGUUUGUGGUGAUUACAAUUUUGGAACACUAUCCACAACCACAAUCACCAUCACCGACAAUGUCGCCGUCUGCUCCUGCUCUCCCAUAGUGUAUGCAAGUCAGGCCGUAUUCCUCUGUUCAGCGCUAUGAAGCAGCCCCAAUCAAAGCUCCAAGCCACCGACAAGCACCGUCCAAUCCGUAUCCUCUGCUGUCGUUCUCUGCGCUCACCGCCGCUUUGUGGACUAUGAGCUCAAGAAGUUUAUUACUGUAAGUUUGAAAUCUUUGGAAAGUUGUGUGCUUUGGAUAUUGUCCUGAUGAUCUUUGACGACAACGUGACAUAUGUAUGAAGUACUUGUCAAGUUUUUUGUUCAAAUUCAUUUUUGGUUUU